This is a long non-coding RNA of Xiphophorus maculatus (southern platyfish), 1822 nucleotides long. RefSeq lists it as uncharacterized. The record is from RefSeq and is a predicted model, not a curated record. NCBI's taxonomy places the organism in Eukaryota, Metazoa, Chordata, Actinopteri, Cyprinodontiformes, Poeciliidae. The transcript is spliced from 3 exons.
UUGAUCUGUUCAGCUAACAUAAGACUGUGUAGCAGACAGGCUUCAAGGUGUAGAAGUUGUAUCAGUACUGCCAUUAUGUUGUACUUAGCUAAGGGGAAGCAUGUGUUUGUGAGAUGGCCACGCAAGUGGUAACGUGGAAUGGGCAUCAGCCAAUGAAAAGCGGCCCCUGUGGUAAGGUCCAUACUUACUACUCUACUCAAGGUGUUAAAUAUUAGUAAUACAAGUACUAUAAGUGAUAAAAAAUGUAUUAGUAUUCGUCAGUCAGACGUCUCCUGUGAGACGUUUUCGUCAUCUUCACUGAAGAGAAAAGUUGCUCACAUACAUAUGUAAACAGAUAUUCUGUCUCCCACCUGUCCAGAAAAGUUCUACUUUCUGUCUUUCUUUUUGCCAUUUUUUGGUAGGGUAACACAGUGACAGCUGUAGUUUGAGGUAGCAGUGUGGUUUGGGGGAGAGGCACGGGGAUGCGGGGUGCGCCGGGGCUUUCAACCGAAAGAGUGCGCAAGAAGACGGAUCACCACCUUCCUAAUACAUCCAUGUCCGCUACCAUAAGUGCUACUGACACAGAGGAGGAUGCGUAUCUGCCUCUGUCCUGAUUGACGUGCCAAAAAACAGCAGAGCAUUAUGGGAUUUGUAGUAUAAGCGGUGAAUGCGGCGUCACAGCGUUGCCAAUGUAUAAUACCGGCAGGCUGGCUCUAAUAUUAAUUUGAAAUUGCCUCGCGGGCCAAAUAUAAUUACACUGCGGGCCAACUUUGGCCCGUGGGCCAGAGUUUGACACCUAUGGUCUAAGUGGUGCUGCUUUUGGGGUGUUUGUGUGUCUGGACGGGAGACAUGUCUGUGGACUGUUAGUUGGCCAUCUAUGGUGGAAGGAUUGUGAAAUGCCACCCAAUGCUGAAAAAUACAAUGUCCUUGCUCAUUUCGCUGUGCUUCUAGAUUUUCCUCUUUCUGAAGUCAAAUCAGAAAAAGGAAGAAAAAAAAACAUGCGCUCACUAUGUUCCACACGGACCUAAAAGAGGGAUGGACAAUGAAAGAAAAAAAGGCGGAAAAGAAAGCCAAACAGAGAGGACUGGAGUUUGGGGACGCUUCAUCAGAAAUCCUGGAAUUUGUGCAGAUCUGGACAAAUCUGUAAACGAGCGGAGAGGCAGCCGGUGAGAAGUGUCUAUGGCAAACUGCAGGUAAGGCACUCUCAGAUGUUGUGGAGAGACCCUGAUGUUGAAUCAUUUUUGCUUUACUAUUUCUUUCCAGAUUUGACCAAAUUGACACACAUUGGCAGUUUUGCAGAAGAUACUGAAAAUCAUGCAUGGUUUGCGCCACACACAAUGUGGUAAGAAAUGUUUUAAGGGAACAGGACAGUGCUGUUUGUGAUGAUGCAAGUGGAGAGGUCAUGAAGUCAUACAGGCUACAAAAGCUGCACACCUGACCCCUGAAGAGACCUUUUGCAAUGACUGAAGCCUGCUGACUGGACAGUGGUGAAAAAAGCCCCAUAGCAACCAGUGGUGACUUCAGAAAGAACCUUCAAAGUACCAUAAAAUUCUUACUUUUUCUCAUUCACAGUCUUGUUAAAGUAAUUUUUAUGGCAUGGCACCACUAUAUUUAUGAGGUAAUUCCUGUAAAUAAAAGAAAAAUCUUGUGUUUUGCAGGCACAUUAUCUGUGGUUUCUCCCUCUGCAGAAUUAGUUUGGGAUUAGCAUGGAUUCAGAGAUAAUAGGAAGGCACACAGUUUGGGGCCAAAGCAAUCUGGAAUGAACAGCAUAAUUACCAUCUCAAGCUCAAGGUCCAGUUGCUUGGAAGGACCAAAUAUUGGCGGUUUCGCUGAAAGGCAAAAG